UACCAGACUCCUACGGGAGGCAGCAGUGGGGGAUAUUGCACAAUGGGGGAAACCCUGAUGCAGCGACGCCGCGUGAGUGAAGAAGUACUUCGUUACGUAAAGCUCUAUUAGCAGGGAAGAAAAUGACGGUACCUGACUAAGAAGCCCCGGCUAACUACGUGCCAGCAGCCGCGGUAAUACGUAGGGGGCAAGCGUUAUCCGGAUUUACUGGGUGUAAAGGGGGCGCAGACGGCAGCGCAAGCCAGGAGUGAAAGCCCGGGGCCCAACCCCGGGACUGCUCUUGGAACUGCGCGGCUGGAGUGCAGGAGGGGCAGGCGGAAUUCCUGGUGUAGCGGUGAAAUGCGUAGAUAUCAGGAGGAACACCGGUGGCGAAGGCGGCCUGCUGGACUGCGACUGACGUUGAGGCCCGAAAGCGUGGGGAGCAAACAGGAUUAGAUACCCCGGUAA
RNAcentral lists this ribosomal RNA (447 nucleotides) under uncultured bacterium. RNAcentral's name for it is "partial 16S ribosomal RNA". It matches the Rfam family "Bacterial small subunit ribosomal RNA", at positions 329 to 793 of the family's 1533-position model. The record is from RNAcentral.